Long non-coding RNA from Haliotis rufescens (red abalone), 575 nucleotides. RefSeq lists it as uncharacterized. Lineage: Eukaryota; Metazoa; Mollusca; Gastropoda; Lepetellida; Haliotidae. The record is from RefSeq and is a predicted model, not a curated record. The transcript is spliced from 3 exons.
UGGUGGCUGUGAGAGUGUUGUGCCGAGCCCCGCCAGUCAGUCAGUCAGUCAGACAGGGUAGCUAGCUGCCUCUCAUUAGUCACAUCGACGUCACGUGACGUGCUUUAUUAGUAAACGGCAUUAGACUUUAUCAGAUUAUAUACUGCGACGGUGGAAGUCACAACCCUCCAGACAUCUUGACGAAGGGAAUAAACAACCUUCACUUCUCAUAUAUUUUGAUUCCGAAUACAGGACCCAGCAUGAAGCUUGGCCUACUGGUGCCCCUGGUGCUGGCUCUCAUUGUGUCCCACACCGCGACUUCGGCCCCUCUUGUCGAUGAACGGCGCCCUGAGCGAUCUGUGGGUUUCCGCGGUGUGGUCUUGCCGCCCAUACUCGACGGCAGCGAUAGACGCAACGCCGGCCCAGGUCGCCUCCCGCACGGGGUGUUCGGCAACAACGGCGUGGGCAAGUGAGACUGCAGUCGAUGACGGACGCCUGGAUUCUUCUUUGUCCACGUGGCUGUCACUUUGGCGUCCAGCUUUUCCCUUACAUGUUCCCAGUACCCGGAUAAACUGAAAUAAAGCUGUUAAUGUAAA